AUACGGAGGAUCCGAGCGUUAUCCGGAUUUAUUGGGUUUAAAGGGUGCGCAGGCGGGAGAUUAAGUCGGCGGUGAAAUUUUGCAGCUCAACUGUAAAAGUGCCUUCGAAACUGGUUUCCUUGAGUGUAGAUGAAGUAGGCGGAAUUUGUGGUGUAGCGGUGAAAUGCAUAGAUAUCACGAGGAACUCCGAUUGCGCAGGCAGCUUACUAAACUACUACUGACGCUCAGGCACGAAGGCGUGGGGAUCAAACAGGAUUAGAUACCCUGGUAGUCCACGCAGUAAACGAUGAUUACUAGCUGUUUGCGAUACAAUGUAAGCGGCUGAGCGAAAGCGUUAAGUAAUCCACCUGGGGUGUACGUUCGCAAGAAUGAAACUCAAAUGAAUUGGCGGGG
Molecule: ribosomal RNA, 393 nt
Filed under: uncultured bacterium
Lineage: Bacteria
Description: partial 16S ribosomal RNA
Rfam family: Bacterial small subunit ribosomal RNA
Source: RNAcentral